RNAcentral lists this long non-coding RNA (880 nucleotides) under Manihot esculenta (cassava). Its description in RNAcentral is "long non-coding RNA (MESC_LNC013156)". The record is from RNAcentral. Lineage: Eukaryota; Viridiplantae; Streptophyta; Magnoliopsida; Malpighiales; Euphorbiaceae.
UAAAGGAAUAAGAAAAAUGAGACAUAGUGUAAAUAUGAUGUUGAAGAAUAAUAAGAAUAAUAUAAGAUAAAAAUAGAAAUUAAAAAAAAAAAGAAAAAUGAAAUAAGGUAUAUUGUGAUAAAAAAAAAUAAUAAAAGGAAUAAUAGUUAAUUAAUUAAGGAUUAAAUUAUGAAUUUGUAAUUUAUGUAGUUGAAUUAAAUUAAUAAAUUUACAUGAUAUGACAAUGUUUAAAAGCACAGUUGUAAUAUGAUAAAGUAUUAUAGUGUAAAUAAUAGACAGUUACACUGUAUUGAUAGUUUUUGUCCCCCUGUUUACAUGUAUAAAUUAUUCAAAGUCUGGUCCUAGUGAAUUUGGUGGGUAUUGUGAGGUAGUUUAAGGGUAUGACAUGCCAUAUACAGAUCUUGUAGUACUGCACUACAGUUACACUGAUUCUUGGGAUACAAUGAGGUAUCCUAUCAAAUAAAAUAGAGUCAUUUCAUUAUAUCCAUAACUUAAAUUUUGGUUAAAUUACAUAUAAAUUUUAAAUUUUCUAUCUAUUAAAUCUAUUAUUUCUCAAACUUUGAUUAUACUAAUAUAAUUAAAUUAUUAUUCACUUGUGUUAGACCUAAAUGUCCUAAUCCUUGUUUUGAUGAUUAAUAAACAAUUGGUGUGUUACUAAUUAUCUUCAAAGGUGUUUUGUAUUGAGCUUGCAGGUCCCUUAUUAAAAUAAAUGGAAUUGCUUCAGUCACAAAAGUGAAAAGUGCUAAUUAUAGAAGCAUACUACAAGAAAGUGAUUAUAAAGUAUUUUCUUUCUUAUUAUACGUUGCCAAUUUAUUUAUUGUGAAUUUCAAGUAAUUAAGUGUGAUGGCUCAAGGUUUCCUUCUUUUCUAAAAGUUUUUUA